Molecule: long non-coding RNA, 340 nt
Filed under: Setaria viridis
Lineage: Eukaryota; Viridiplantae; Streptophyta; Magnoliopsida; Poales; Poaceae
Description: long non-coding RNA (SVIR_LNC008579)
Source: RNAcentral
AAUACUUAACUGAUGUCACACAUGCCAUCACCCAUUUAAUCCAUUGUGGAUGAAAACCCAAUCUGUUCAUUGCUUCUCUCAAGAAAUCCCAAUCGACUCGAUCAUAUGUAAGCGCAAAAAUUAUUUCGUCCACCAUGACAAUUUUGGAUAGCGUGGACACAUUCAAAAGCAAUAACAGCAUUAUCAGUUAUUAGCCUUCCUGGAAUAAAAACACUUUGCAUUGGAGAGAUAAUAUGAAUAGGCCUUAAACUGUUUGCCAUACAUUUGGAAACUAUCAGCUUGGUCCUUUUUUGGAAUGAGCACAAUUGUUGUAAUAUUAGCCCCAUCAGGCAUGACCCCC